UACCAGCACCCCGAGUGGUCGGGACGAUUAUUGGGCCUAAAGCAUCCGUAGCCGGUUCUACAAGUCUUCCGUUAAAUCCACCUGCUUAACAGAUGGGCUGCGGAGGAUACUAUAGAGCUAGGAGGCGGGAGAGGCAAGCGGUACUUAGUGGGUAGGGGUAAAAUCCGUUGAUCCAUUGAAGACCACCAGUGGCGAAGGCGGCUGACUGGUCCGGUUCUGACGCUGAGGCGCGAAAGCGUGGGGAGCAAACAGG
This 253-nucleotide ribosomal RNA is filed under the name uncultured bacterium. Its description in RNAcentral is "partial 16S ribosomal RNA". It matches the Rfam family "Archaeal small subunit ribosomal RNA", at positions 474 to 727 of the family's 1478-position model. The record is from RNAcentral.